Curvularia kusanoi is the source of this 148-nucleotide non-coding RNA. The record is from the annotation of a GenBank genome assembly. NCBI's taxonomy places the organism in Eukaryota, Fungi, Ascomycota, Dothideomycetes, Pleosporales, Pleosporaceae.
GGAUGCUUGGUCCAGUGGCAAGACACUCGCAACAUAGCCAGCGCCAGGUGAAGGAGACCCCGUAACGGGUGCCCAUCAGGGCUGUUGAUCGACCCACCGAAACGCUUGGUCAUUGCGAGAGACCUGUGUUCGAUUCACAGAGCAUCCA